This 9308-nucleotide long non-coding RNA is filed under the name Triticum aestivum (bread wheat). RNAcentral's name for it is "long non-coding RNA (TAES_LNC021031)". The stretch from base 6831 to 6917 matches the Rfam family "MIR1120/MIR1122 microRNA precursor family". The record is from RNAcentral. Lineage: Eukaryota; Viridiplantae; Streptophyta; Magnoliopsida; Poales; Poaceae.
CCUCCCAAAUCGUAGUCGCCGCCGGCUCACCAUUUGUCCAUAUCAUUGCUCACCACGGCUCCCAUCCCUUCUGGUUGCUUUGGCGUUGAUUGAUUUUGGCGUCUACCCGUCUAGGGUUUCAAGCUCAGCGUCGGCGUUUCAGGUGAAAAAUCUAUUACUCUGCGUGAUUUUGUUUCCCUCCUAGGUAAUCGAGUGUAGCUGCUGAGUUAAUUGUAUGCAUGUGCAGCUCUGUGUAGUUUUUGUUAUCUCCCGUGUUAAAACUUCGAUUGGCUAACCUCUUAGCAUAAAAUUACGAGCUCCUUGCUUGAUCCAGACGCAGGUGCAGGCUGGGCUAGAUGUUUUUAUUUAUUUAAUUUUGGGCACUGAAAGUGAUACUCGGCGUUGCUGAGUUUUUGCAUUGCGAGGAUUCAAUCUUAGGAGAUUUAUUUAGUUGUCGCGCUUGAUGUUGUAAUUUGUGCCGCAAUGUUGGAGAUGCCCUUCGAGUUCUGCAUUGUUGUUGGUGGGUGUCACAGUUUUCCUUGAUUCUAGGGAUGCCAUGCUUUCGGUAGUGGCACCCCUAUAUGUUAUCAUGUUGUGAGCGCUGAGAGCCAUAGAUGUAGUAUCAGAAACUUAAGCUGUGUUGUAGUUUGUUGUUUCAUGAUUCUGGAUUUUGUGAACAAUAACCGUGGACAUCUCAAGUAUAAUGACCAGAAAUGGAGGAGGAUGAGUAUUUUUGUUUUGCAAAUAGUGGAUUAUAAUUUGCACAUCAUUUGUUCCUAUUUGUGAUGGUUCCACAAGCUUUGGGUUGUAAUACCCUAUUUGUAUUUGGUUUGCAUGCUCUUCAUGCAUAGUUCAUGUAUAAGUAUGCCACGGGUUAUGCUCCUAUAUGCCACUAAAAUUCAGCGUACCCUUCUCGGCUGUGAAUGUACAAUUCAAUGAAGAGCAACUGCAGAAAUAUCGCAAUUGUAUUUCUUUGGAUGGCUUACUCAGUCAGUUUAAACCAGGUUUUUAGAACGUCUUCAGUGCUUUUGUAGCAACUAUGCGUUUAUGCAAUAGCUUCAGAUUUUGAAAAGGCAAUUAUUAUUGCAAUGGUGGAGGUUUGGCAUAUAAAAUGGUCACUGGAGAACUGGAUUGUUUCACUAAAAUUUAAAGCAUGUGUAAGGAUGAAUUGUUUCACUAAACAUCAUGAUCCGUUGCAUGUUUCAUGCUACUGCCAAAAUAUAUUAAUUUUCACCAUUUGGAAAGGAAAAUACAACACUGGUCCUCCUUUGUGAUUUGACCAACAUCUUUUGUGGAAAUUGUGGUUUGUGGGGUUGGCGUGCUCUGUAUUCAAACAUUGCAAUUUGCACGCUUAGUAGCUGUCAUUGGUGUUUUGACAUUUCUGUGUUCGAUAUGCAAUAAUUAGUACAAAUCCACUUGAGUUGGCCGAGGCUCAGUGUCAUUUAUUGAAGUUCAGACUCCGCAACAGAACCAAAUGAUUACAUUGGUUUGUAGAGAGGCUUCUACUGGUCUGCCUUAACCAAAGCUUCUUCCAGGAGCAGGUUAUAUUAACAGGUACUUUCCUGUUUGUUUUCUAGUUCUUGAAGGGGAAAUACCCCUUGGCCCUUGGGCGUAUAUGCACCUGAUAUGGGAAAAAAAUAGUAUUUGCGAAAAAAGUCAAAAAAUUCUGAAACUUUUUUAAAAACAAACAUGACCUUCUGGAGGUGUUUGGAUUAGAGAAUGGUAACGUAAAUAGAUUACGCUGUUAACGGGGAUGUAAUGGAUAAAUCACUGUUUUGUUUGGUUCAUGCCUGUAAAGGAAUUGAGUUAGGGUGUCUUCUUCGGGGUUCUCAUGGCCGGUGGCUGAAAAAGAAGAAGAGCAGACAAGGGAUGGGAAGGAGAGCAGACAAGGGAUNNNNNNNNNNNNNNNNNNNNNNNNNNNNNNNNNNNNNNNNNNNNNNNNNNNNNNNNNNNNNNNNNNNNNNNNNNNNNNNNNNNNNNNNNNNNNNNNNNNNNNNNNNNNNNNNNNNNNNNNNNNNNNNNNNNNNNNNNNNNNNNNNNNNNNNNNNNNNNNNNNNNNNNNNNNNNNNNNNNNNNNNNNNNNNNNNNNNNNNNNNNNNNNNNNNNNNNNNNNNNNNNNNNNNNNNNNNNNNNNNNNNNNNNNNNNNNNNNNNNNNNNNNNNNNNNNNNNNNNNNNNNNNNNNNNNNNNNNNNNNNNNNNNNNNNNNGACAAGGACGAGCUGAGGCGGCGAUGGCUACCAGGAGACGGGGCCGCGAAAAGAGGAGAAGGAGCACGUCCGGUUACUCUCCGGCCAUUAGAGACGGGAGGAGCCAGCUCAACUGCGACGGCGCUAGGUUCUUUUGGGAGGUGGCGACGCUGGUCGAGGAGGAGGAGGGGAUCAUGGGAGGAGAAGUUGCGGUAACGGAACCAUUUACGUAGGGGUGCGGGUGGUAUCGAUCGAGAGAUAGCAUGUACCCGUUUACGGAGGCAGCCGAUUACAGCUUAUAUGAAACAAACACGUGUAACGUCUUCCGAUUACACCGUAAACAAGUAACGUGGAUUUCUCCCCGAAACAAACACCUCCUCUGUUGUACUAGUAUAAAAAGUUUCACGAAGAAAAACAAGCGUCGUCUUCAGGGAAAACAUAAAUAAAAAUUUUGAGGACAAAAUGUGUGAAUAGUAACUUGUAUAUAGUGUUGUUUAGUUUUUUUCCCAUCCAGAAUACCAUGAAAGUCAAUCCCUGACGGAACUUUUUAUAUGAGUACAACAGAAUUCCUUUACAGGCAUGAACCAAACUUUUUAUAUGAGUACAACAGAAUGUCAAGUUUGUUUCCAAAGAUGUUUCAAAUUCGUUGAACUUUUUUUUCGCAAUUACUAAAUUACUUUUUCAUAUCAGAUGCAUAUACACCCGAGAGCCAAAGGUGCUUGUCCUUUCUUGAAGGCUAUUCUAAACAGUUCUGUAUUACCUCUGAAGAAACCGUAUACUGUUCAGAUAAGAAACUAGAGCUGAGCUGCCUUAGCUUAUACUUGGCCAUCAAGCAUGUGAGCAAAUGUUUUUAGCAAUAGUAGUUAGGGUAGCUUCCCAAAAACAUGUCUUUUAGUGCUUAAUUAGAUCUCUUUUAGCUCUGUAGAGUGUAAAAAUCCGCAACGUGUCAAGCAUCAUGUUGUAGUAUAAAACUAUGGUGAACAAUCACGCAAGAGAGAAAAGCUUUAGCAAAGCUAACUGCACAUUCUCAAAGCACAGCCUCAAAAGAAUACAAGGACUGUCCCUCUCAAACCUUUUAAAACUCUGAUUCUUACCCCAGCCCCACACAAGAAUCUAAUCCUAAAGAACAUAACCUCUUAUCCUCUCAAGCCCUGACAAUUGUUUCUUCCUUGCUCUGUCCUUGGGUGUGGUUGCUAAAUUAUUGUUCCUUGCGUGUCCUCCUUGCGCAGCAAGUAGAACUCCUUAUUAAUGUAGGGCUCCUAGCUCAAAUUCAAAUAGGACUGGGAUAUGAGUCACACCCUGAACGACCGUCCUUUUAUUCAACGUGCUCUCUUUUCAGGAGUAUAUGUGAGUUGGCUAAGCUGUUAUAACACUUUAUGGAUGUAAAUUUCUUCAGGAUUUGGUAACUCAAUGAUGUCCAGGAAAUAUUUGUGUUAUCAGUGGUAUUAAUUAUCAGUGGUAUUAACCUGGGGCUGGACAACCUUUGUCUGUUGUGAAGAGCACCAACAGAAUCAGAAUGCUGUUAGAUGUUAUUUCUGUCCUAUCGUUUGUUGAAUGGACUAAGAAAGAGAUUGUUGCUUGUAGUAUUGGUACGAUGAGGUGAAGUUUGAACAUCAACUAGUUUUUAACUCUUCCCACCAUCUCUCCUUGGCAGUUGAGAAUUUUGGUGUUUUGGUUUCCCUGUGCUGAAUAUAGCUUUGACUUAAUGAAAUUGUGCUCUAUACUGUCAUGUAACAUUGGAUGUAUACGGAUAGCUGUUGGCCCUAGAAAUACUGGCUAAAUCUACAAAUUUGUUAGAGAUCAAGUCCCUCUGCUCACACAAAACCUUUGCCACUUCCACUAUUUCUCCCCAUCAUUUUCUCUCCUUGUUCAACAUGAUAUCUGGUAGCGACGCAACUACGUAAAGCACAUUCCGAUUGGAUACUAAUAUAUUUAAUAUUCCCUUUCGAAAUAUACUCUAUACUGCAUCGAGACGAGUUUCACUUUCCCUUUGAACAUCAUCUCGUUUGCUAGGCAACAAGCCUGAUACUUCGUAGAACCAUUGUUGUCGGGGCUCUGCAGCUUAUCACCAACAAUAGCAGUACCAUUUACUUCACUUCAAGUCCGCUUUUGAUCUAAAUUAUUUAUUUCCUUUUGUGCUAGUUUCUGCAAGUGGAGGCGGCAAGCUAGAGACAGCAACUGCAUAAUUUGCAAGAAAAUCGUAAGUUGUACAAAUACAUACUCUUUCUAUUAUUCAUGAGAAAAUGACAUAUAUAUCACUCAUUCUUACUAUGUAAUUAGAUAAUGCGUCCUAACUUUCUUUCUGAGUUUCCCCGUUGCUCAGAUUCACAUGUUUUUCUUAACAUUUGCUGAAAGUCAUCUAUAGAAAUAUUUGAAUCCAGGAUAUAAAAAUUUAAUUGGUUUAGAGCUGCUUUAUCUGCAUGCAGAUGACAACAAGAAAAUCACAAGUUGCACAAGAUACUUUAUAUUCAUGAGAAAAUGACAUAGAUUUCUGUAUAUAUUUAUAUUUGUCCACAGAUCAUUUUUAAUAGAUAUGUAUCGGUACUUUGUAGUAGACCUUAGUGCUCGUGCAGUUUGCUCAAAAUUAACAUGAUUUGUCGAAACAUUGUUGAAAUCAAUCUAUAAAGAUAAGAAUUCCGGGUAUGAUAAAUUCAGUUGAUCUGGAGCUGCUUUAUCUGCAUAUGAAUCACAAAUGCUGCUGACAGAUAUGUGUGUAUUGUACACCCGAGAACCUGACUUACUUGAAGCUAUUUUAAUGCGGAAAUGGUUGAAGCAGUCCUGGAGUAUUGAGGAACAAAUUUUGUACUCCCUCCGUAAAGAAAUAUAAGAGCGUUUAGAUUACUAAAGUAGUGAUCUAAACACUCUUAUAUUUGUUUACAGAGGAAGUAUUUAAUAUGAACUUAUAGAUAAAUUUGUUCCUGUCAUUCAUGAAUUCAUAAUAUUGAUGUGGCGGUAAUGUUUACUCCCCUCAGGUAUUAUUAGGUGUAUUUUAAUUGUCAAAGUUUAUGCGUUGACCAAGAACUAUAGUACAAUUAUAUGCGGGUUACUUGAUGCAACAUUUGUAGCAUUUGAUUUGUAUUCUGAAGUAGUUCCUUAUGAUUGUGAUUUCUAACUAUUAACAAAAGAUCGUAGAAGAAGCUUGUGGUGAAAGUUUGAAUUUUGAUAAAAAAGAUACGCGUUAUGUAUCCAGAGCUAUAGGGACCCAUGGCAUAGAGUUCCAGGAUAUAUCAUUAUUUUGCUAUUAAUCCUUUAGCUAAUCAGGUGAAUAUUGGUAACCAACAAUCUUUGUUUACCGUGAUGUAUGAACGGACAAAGUAUUUCCACCUGUUAGCUAAGCUAUAGUGGCUCUCUUGCCAUAGUAUUUAUUUCCAGUUAAUUUCUCUGUGCCCGAGUGAUACUUUUUAUUAGCCUUUGCGAACAUGCAAGCAGUGGCAUACUUAGAAAUGGAGAAAUGUAAACCCUGUCACACACCACAGAACUUUCUAAGAAUGAUGGCAGAAAAAAGCGGUAACUGAAUUUUGCUCAAUCCACACUUCACACCUUUUGUCAGUAAGCUAGCUGCUCAUGCAGUUGAAUAAACUCACAGAAUGUGUUAAAUUGUUCUAAUACAACCAUUUGCACAACAGAUUAAUCCUUCCAUGGAGUACAUUUUAUUUGUAACAGAUUUACACUACCGUUUAUCAAUCGGUCGUCACAUGCGAACCACUUAUGUCUUGCUAUUGGUUUAGGUUCUUUACAACCAAUAGUAUUCUGGCUGCUCUGAAUUGUAUCCCUUGAUAAUAAUAAUAACAAGAGUAAUCCCAUACCCCACGAUCGUCAUGGAUGUAGUUGCAAUCUGCAAGAUUUAAUGUAAGUCAUAAUCAAAGAAAUUUGUGAUUGAAACUUAUAAAGAGCCGAGAAAAGAGUCAAUAGAUCCCGUGCAGAAAAAAACAAACAUGUACCCUAGUUUAGGGGGCGCAGUAUGCUCAACAUCAUUUUGUUGCUGCGGGGAAUUGAGUUCAAGAUCAACAGAAACAUUGGCAUCUUCAACAACUGCAAAAUUGUAUGGAGUUCUUGAAUUUCGGUUAACUUCAGUCACUGCCUCCGUCUCAGAGAGCUGAAUAGAGAAUUAAACAAAAGUCAAUCAUGGAAAUCAUUCGUGUGAUUUCAACUAUCAUGAUUAAUUCAAUACCUUUUUCUGUAACUCAACAUUUUCCUGACGAAUUAGGUUAAUCUUUUUGUAUAAUUCCAUGUUUUCUUGGUGGACAAGACUCCCCUGCAAAUAAAUGAAUAGUCAGUUUGUUGAAAUAUUUCAUACGUUUCAGGCUGGUAAAUGUUGUAGUACCUUGUGAUUCAGUUCAUGAAUCUCAUCAAUCAAGAUUUGGUCCUGAAAGAAACAUUAGUGCUCCUCUGUUAGUCUUUUUGGAGGAACCUGUGACGUGUAUAUAUAACAAGUGUUUUGCAUGUUGACCUUUUUUGUCCGGAUGCAACGCAGACUUAUUUCCAGUUGAUUUUCUAGAGCCUGCAGUUCCUUGACACCCAUUCCAGAAAGAUCUUGUCCCAUCAACUGCCUGCAAUUAAACAAUGUUGCGCGUGUUUUGACUGAAUGUAUAUAGGGAACAUUUCAGAAUAUUUCCAUAGCCUCUGAUCCAACUGUGAAUUAGUGAAAUGUUGUAUUUCAAUUUAUUACUCCCUCCGUCCCAUGAUAUAAGAGCGUUUUUGACACUACACUAGUGUAAACAACACUCUUAUAUUAUGGGACGGAGGGAGUGGAUCUGUGUAAGUUUUAUCUUUUUCAGGUAGUUACGGUCUUACGGAUUAGGCUUCUGUAGAAUGCAACUGUUGAUUUUCUGCUGGGUGGGGGUUUGACAAACCAGAGUGCUCUGACAGUAACAGUAAAUAGCUGAAGUUUUUUGAACUGGUCAUUGGUUUGCAUGGGAAAUUACUAACUUAAUUUCAUCUUUAUAUUUCUUUCAUUUCUAGAAGUCAAAACUGACACCCACAUAAACAGAGGAUUGUUCUGUGGAGUCAGCAUACCUAGUUCCCACAGAAAAUAUUGUACUCUUGUGCGUUUGGCUUAUUGUCUAUGAAACCAAGUUUCAUCUUUACAUCCAAAGGCUAUCUGCUUUCGAAUGCAAUAAUUUGUCACAAAAUUAAAUAUUCUACACAGUGAAUAGCUAUUAAUGCAUGGACUCUGUUGUGCAUUUUGAGUUUUGUAUCCUUCGUAAUUGAGUAUCAUGAAUUAUUUUCUUGAAAGAAUUAAGUUUCUUUUAUAGCACAUUUAAAGAUUGUAGUUGCUGGAUGGUGUACACUUGUGCUGAUAGCGCGGUACUCUUAUAAAUUUGACAAAUUUCUGAUAAAUAAAUACGGAAAAUUUUCAGGUUUUCGGGCCAUACCGAUGAUUUUCUUGCAAGUUGUGCAGUUGUUGUCUCAAGCUUGCUGCCUCCCUUUGCCAGAACUAUGGAAUUUGAACUUACAGUUAAGUAAUGCCACAUCAGGUUUGCCAAAAGUAUUAAAAUAGACAUGGUGCAUAGAAAAGCAUGAUUGCCCUAUCACUAUCAGUGUCAUGAAAGUACUGAAUCACAUGGUAAUAUCUGCAACUUUAUUUGACUGGGUAUAAUUCAUACAAUAAAUGUUGAGAGGACAAAUAGGUUAUAGGAUAAAAUAUAAUGCAAGUGGGAAACCUUUGGUUUUGUUUCCUUCGGGUACUUCACUCCAAUGACUGUCAAGGUGCACCCAAAAAAAGUGACUUGGUGAUAUCAGGUUGAACAUAUAUUUAUACACCCCACAUGAUUUGUUGUCUUAUGCCAUCUCUAAUUCUCUCAAAUGCUUCUGUGAGGCAAAUCAACCUUUUAGCAUGUGAGCUUCUAAAGAAGUAUGAGCUAGAGGCAGAACAGGUCUGGAAACUCGUUAUUAUCCUGCUGGAAGAAGAUUUCGUGUGGCAGUAGAAGGUCUCAGUUUGUCUCAGUUUGAUUCAGAACUGUCAUUUGGGGUUCAUCUCACAAGUUUCAAUAUAGACUGAAGGAUUUGUAUGUGUUGUACAUGUUUCCUUAGCUUCCAUUAUUCCUUCUGAGAAGUUCUGUUAUGUUGGUCUUACAUAUUUGAUUUUCUGUCCGAGGUUCAAAGGAGAUUAGGAUUCGGAUAGGAGCUGUAUGCACAAGAGCUCUUUUCAAAUGGUUUCCUACAUGAGAAUUCCUACCCCGUUUGCUGUUUCUUCUUUGGCCAAUAUUUGCAUCAUCUUGCGGCCUAUAAUCCUCAAGGUUGUUCUGUAACUGCAGAAUUUAGCGAAGGGACGACGAGCUAACUUAGUGAGAAAUACACUCGUGUUGGUUGAUACCAUUCUAGUUGAGCUUUGAUGUUUAGUUCUGUAGUUAAUCUGACGGGCCAUUUAAAUGUAAAACAAACGGUGCUGCAGACAGCACAAUCUUAGGUUCACCUCAAUAAGCUUCAAUAGUCAAGUAAAUUGCAGUUCAGCUUGAUGCUCACAAACUAGUUUCAUCAGGUGCACCGCCGCAAGGCCAUUUUGGUCAGCUUGGAUUUGAUUAGUAGUGUUUAUAUCUGUCAUCUGUUUAGAGUUCUAAUCUGGCUUUGCUAAACCCUACAAUUUGUUUGUAGUCAAGAAUACCAGUCUGCCAAUACAUUUUGUUCUAUGAAGGCGUUUUCAACCUCUGAUUGCAAGUUGAAGCAGUUGGCUCAACACUGGGUGUUGGCACAACAUCCAUGCCAUUCAACAGGGGUUCAUUAAGAUUUAAAGAGUCUUUUCCAUUUGGUCAGCGGUUGGUCAUCGGUGGUGGUGUUAGCUCACAAUUUUCCUGUCUGAGACGUUGCAACAAUAGUCAGUUUGAGGUGAAAAGUCUGGAGCUGGAUCCUGAAUUUAAGGGCCUUUUCCCAAUUUACAUGGAUGAACUGCUAUCACUUUUUAGUUCGGCUGAUGAUGGGCCUCCUGAGUCUGUAUGAUGAGCCAGCAUGAUUUGCCAAAAAAGGGUAUUUGCAAAUCUAUGUUGCUUGAGAUUUUCUUAUGCCUACAAGUGAUACACUAAGCCGUCUGCCCAGUCUAACGCCUCUGUUGAGAUUAAUUCACAUGAUUCUAAAAACACAAGAAUAUGAGAAACACACAAUUGCAAUAUCAUGUCCAUUUGAAUCCUACAAGAUUUUGGUUUGUUU